RNAcentral lists this ribosomal RNA (324 nucleotides) under uncultured eukaryote. RNAcentral's name for it is "partial 18S ribosomal RNA". It matches the Rfam family "Eukaryotic small subunit ribosomal RNA", at positions 1470 to 1796 of the family's 1831-position model. The record is from RNAcentral.
CCCUUAGAUGUCCUGGGCUGCACGCGCGCUACACUGAUGUGUCCAGUAAGCACCUAACCUCUUCCGAAAGGAACGGGUAACCUUUGCAAAGCACAUCGUGAUGGGGAUAGAUUAUUGCAAUUAUUAGUCUUGAACGAGGAAUUCCUAGUAAGCACAAGUCAUCAGCUUGUGUUGAUUACGUCCCUGCCCUUUGUACACACCGCCCGUCGCUCCUACCGAUUGAAUGUUCCGGUGAGCUCUUCGGACUGCGCGGUCUGCAGUUUCUGCGUUCCGUGCGGUAAGUUGCGCAAACCUUAACAUUUAGAGGAAGGAGAAGUCGUAACA